Molecule: ribosomal RNA, 459 nt
Filed under: uncultured bacterium
Lineage: Bacteria
Description: partial 16S ribosomal RNA
Rfam family: Bacterial small subunit ribosomal RNA
Source: RNAcentral
CCUACGGGAGGCAGCAGUGAGGAAUAUUGGUCAAUGGCCGAGAGGCUGAACCAGCCAAGUCGCGUGAGGGAAGACGGCCCUACGGGUUGUACACCUCUUUUGUCGGGGAGCAAAGCGAACCACGUGUGGUUCAUUGAGUGUACCCGAAGAAACAGCAUCGGCUAACUCCGUGCCCGCAGCCGCGGUAAUACGGAGGAUGCGAGCGUUAUCCGGAUUUAUUGGGUUUAAAGGGUGCGCAGGCGGAGGUGCCAAUCAGCGGUCAACUUGCGGGGCUCAACCCCGUACUGCCGUUGAAACUGCAUCCCUUGAGUGCGCGAGAAGUAUGCGGAAUGCGUUGUGUAGCGGUGAAAUGCAUAGAUAUCACGCAGAACUCCGAUUGCGAAGGCAGCAUACCGGCGCGCAACUGACGCUCAUGCACGAAAGCGUGGGUAUCGAACAGGAUUAGAUACCCUUGUAGUC